UGCUCCUCAGGUUGCUGUUGUCCCUGUGGUGGCGUACUUGUCACAUGUCGACAAAUUAUACACUACAUACCAGUUGACAGCGUGCAAUAACCCGGCCGAUUUAUUCAUCUUUACACCACCUCGCAAUCGAAUCAACGGUUAGUUUUUUUUUUUUUUUUUUUCUUUUUUUCUUCCCCGCGAUCAGCCCUGAUCAGCGCGGGAUGGCGAGCCACCCGACCACCGCUGCAUUGCGGUAGGACUUGCGAACCUUUGGAUUCAACUGAACUGUUGACACAUGACCUCUCACAGGUCAAUGAAACUAAAGUGAUCUCAUACUGGACUAAACCUCAUCCCACCUCCUUUUGGAACCUAAUAAGCUGUUUUAUAUUGUCAACAUUGUUUUUGUUUGUGAUAUAUGCAUAUAUAUAUUUUUUUGUACAUCUGUCUAUAUAUUUCUCAUAACAAACAUAAUAUAUAUAUAUUUUUUAGCUCUA
This is a long non-coding RNA of Pelmatolapia mariae (spotted tilapia), 473 nucleotides long. RefSeq lists it as uncharacterized. The transcript has 2 exons. The record is from RefSeq and is a predicted model, not a curated record. Lineage: Eukaryota; Metazoa; Chordata; Actinopteri; Cichliformes; Cichlidae.